Molecule: ribosomal RNA, 172 nt
Filed under: uncultured eukaryote
Lineage: Eukaryota
Description: partial small subunit ribosomal RNA
Source: RNAcentral
GUACACACCGCCCGUCGCUGCUACCGAUUGGAUGAUCCGGUGAAAUCCUCGGAUUGAUGUAGYUAYCUAGCAGCAAUGUUAGAUAYUAUAUUGAGAAGUUGAUUAAACCUUAUCAUCUAGAGGAAGCAAAAGUCGUAACAAGGUUUCCGUAGGUGAACCUGCAGAAGGAUCA